This 831-nucleotide long non-coding RNA is filed under the name Pan troglodytes (chimpanzee). RNAcentral describes it as "lincRNA". Lineage: Eukaryota; Metazoa; Chordata; Mammalia; Primates; Hominidae. The record is from RNAcentral.
ACGCCUCACCAGAACAGCACGUAGCAGGCCCCCGUGGAGGAUUAACACAGUGGCUGAACACCGGGAAGGAACUGGCACUUGGAGUCCGGACAUCUGAAACUUGAGUUGACAAGCCGACAUCAGUCUCCAGAGUGAAUCCAAGGAGUGGACCCAAGACAUUUGUGUUCUGUGAUGUGGUGGCAUGUUACCUGUCAUCUCUGAUGCAUAACUCCUAAAGUGUUUGCGUCUGGGGCAGUUGUACAGAUUGCAAAGGAUAAUACUCAAGAUGUCCUCCAAGGCCAACUACUCAUCAGUUUAUUCAUGUUUCUGGGACUGGAUUCAUGAAUUCAUCCUUUCAACUAUUUCAACAAGCUUUUUCAUGUAACUAAUCUGUGGAAGGUAGAAAGGGGAAAACUGUUGGGUGCUAAAAUGACAACUGGUUCAAGAACUCCCAAGAUGGUCGUGGGCCACUUCCAAGAUGGUGGCAAGAGUCGUAUUCUCUGACCUGGGGUUCUUGGUCUCAUGGAUUCCAAGGAAUGGAAUCUUGCGCCAUGUGUCCAAAGAAGAAGGAAGAAGAAAGGGGAUAUAAUGAGAAUGAGGAGCGUCAGAUAAUUAGGCAGCAGUCCAACAAUUAGGUUUUGUGGAACUUUUACUAUGUCAUCUAUUUAUUGGAAUUCCCUCUGGAUACCAGGACCCCCUCCAGCAGAGCUUAAAGUUAUAGUUACAGGAAGUACAAAUUCCGUAUGUGGAUCCCUGGAAGUGUGAUGAGAAGAACCACUGUUUCCAAGAUCUAUUUAUUCUAUUUAUCAGGCCUAUAAAAUCAUGUAAUGGCCAUGGCUUCAACUAGACUCC